Molecule: transfer RNA, 70 nt
Filed under: Ictidomys tridecemlineatus (thirteen-lined ground squirrel)
Lineage: Eukaryota; Metazoa; Chordata; Mammalia; Rodentia; Sciuridae
Description: Spermophilus tridecemlineatus (thirteen-lined ground squirrel) tRNA
Rfam family: tRNA
About the family: Transfer RNA (tRNA) molecules are approximately 80 nucleotides in length. Their secondary structure includes four short double-helical elements and three loops (D, anti-codon, and T loops).
Source: Rfam by way of RNAcentral
GGGGUUGUGGCUUAGUGGUAGAGCGCUCGCCUAGCACGUGUGAGGCCCUGGGUUCAGUUCCUCAGCACCA